AUUGAACGCUGGCGGCAUGCCUUACACAUGCAAGUCGAACGGCAGCACGGGAGCAAUCCUGGUGGCGAGUGGCGAACGGGUGAGUAAUAUAUCGGAACGUGCCCAGUCGUGGGGGAUAACGUAGCGAAAGCUACGCUAAUACCGCAUACGAUCUACGGAUGAAAGCGGGGGAUCGCAAGACCUCGCGCGAUUGGAGCGGCCGAUAUCAGAUUAGCUAGUUGGUGGGGUAAAAGCUCACCAAGGCGACGAUCUGUAGCUGGUCUGAGAGGACGACCAGCCACACUGGAACUGAGACACGGUCCAGACUCCUACGGGAGGCAGCAGUGGGGAAUUUUGGACAAUGGGCGAAAGCCUGAUCCAGCAAUGCCGCGUGCAGGACGAAGGCC
This 386-nucleotide ribosomal RNA is filed under the name uncultured bacterium. RNAcentral's name for it is "bacterial SSU rRNA". It matches the Rfam family "Bacterial small subunit ribosomal RNA", at positions 29 to 416 of the family's 1533-position model. The record is from RNAcentral.